GGAUUAGAUACCCUGGUAGUCCACACUGUAAACGCUGUCUACUAGCUGUGUGUGUAUAUUAUACGUGCGUAGCGAAGCUAACGCGCUAAGUAGACCGCCUGGGGAGUACGGCCGCAAGGUUAAAACUCAAAUGAAUUGACGGGGGCCCGCACAAGCGGUGGAGCAUGUGGUUUAAUUCGAUGCAACGCGAAGAACCUUACCUACACUUGACAUGCCGAGAAUUUACCAGAGAUGGUUUAGUGCCUUCGGGAACUCGGACACAGGUGCUGCAUGGCUGUCGUCAGCUCGUGCUG
This 293-nucleotide ribosomal RNA is filed under the name uncultured bacterium. RNAcentral describes it as "partial 16S ribosomal RNA". It matches the Rfam family "Bacterial small subunit ribosomal RNA", at positions 775 to 1067 of the family's 1533-position model. The record is from RNAcentral.